AUUGAACGCUGGCGGCAUGGCUAAAGCAUGCAAGUCGAACGAGAACCACCUUCGGGUGGGGACAGUGGCGAAAGGGCGAGGAAUACGAUCGAACGUACCCCGAGGUGGGGGAUAGCGUCGGGAAACUGGCGGUAAUACCCCAUGUGCUCUUCGGAGGAAAGGUUUACUGCCUUGGGAGCGGCGAUCGUCCUAUCAGGUUGUUGGUGAGGUAACGGCUCACCAAGCCGAAGACGGGUAGCGGGUGUGAGAGCAUGACCCGCCGCAUCGGGACUGAGACACUGCCCGGACUCCUACGGGAGGCUGCAGCGACGAAUCUUCCGCAAUGCGCGAAAGCGUGACGGAGCAAUGCCGCGUGCAGGAUGAAGCGGCUUCGCCGUGUAAACUGCUGUCAGGUCCUCGAAACACUGAUCAGGACCAAAGGAAGGGCCGGCUAAACUCGUGCCAGCAGCCGCGGUAAUACGAGUGGCCCAAGCGUUAUUCGGAAUCACUGGGCUUAAAGCGUG
This 503-nucleotide ribosomal RNA is filed under the name uncultured bacterium. RNAcentral describes it as "bacterial SSU rRNA". It matches the Rfam family "Bacterial small subunit ribosomal RNA", at positions 28 to 569 of the family's 1533-position model. The record is from RNAcentral.